GUGCUCGCUUCUGUAGCACGUAAUACAGAGAUUGGAACAAUAUAGAGAAAAUUAACCUGUCAUCAUACAAGGAUGAUGUGUAAAUUCGUGUCGUGUUCCGUAUUAAA
RNAcentral lists this small nuclear RNA (107 nucleotides) under Mustela putorius furo (domestic ferret). Lineage: Eukaryota; Metazoa; Chordata; Mammalia; Carnivora; Mustelidae. The record is from RNAcentral.